Molecule: unclassified non-coding RNA, 343 nt
Filed under: soil metagenome
Description: partial contains 5.8S ribosomal RNA, internal transcribed spacer 2, and large subunit ribosomal RNA
Rfam family: 5.8S ribosomal RNA (bases 1-120)
Source: RNAcentral
GAUGAAGAACGCAGCGAAAUGCGAUAAGUAAUGUGAAUUGCAGAAUUCAGUGAAUCAUCGAAUCUUUGAACGCACAUUGCGCCCGCUAGUAUUCUGGCGGGCAUGCCUGUUCGAGCGUCAUUUCAACCCUCGACCUCCCUUUGGGGAAGUCGGCGUUGGGGACCGGCAGCACACCGCCGGCCCUGAAAUGGAGUGGCGGCCCGUCCGCGGCGACCUCUGCGUAGUAAACCAACUCGCACCGGAACCCCGACGUGGCCACGCCGUAAAACACCCAACUUCUGAACGUUGACCUCGAAUCAGGUAGGACUACCCGCUGAACUUAAGCAUAUCAAUAAGCGGAGGA